Molecule: non-coding RNA, 45 nt
Filed under: Scrippsiella trochoidea
Lineage: Eukaryota; Dinophyceae; Peridiniales; Peridiniaceae
Source: RNAcentral
CGGUCUGUACUUUCCAUGUUUUGCUAACUGUGGCAAAGCUCUCAG